CACACUUAAAUUCACAUAUUUUUAGCAACUAUAAAAUCGCCGCUAAAUUUGAAUCGUUUCAUUUUCAUACAAAAAUAUUUGGCAGCAUUAAUAUUCGGCACACAUUUUGUUAGUUGUGCCGCCAAAAAUAUUUGAUAAGAUUAUUUUUUAUAGUUAGUCGUAUGUUUUAGCAAAGUGAAUAUUAAUAGACGCAACGGACGCCGCACGUAGCGGGCGCCUCAUACGCUCAAAGGUCCCGGUUGAAGUAAUAGAUGUUCAUUUGGAUUGGACAGCUGAGAUGAAGGAUCGCGUAUCAAUUUUGACGACAGAGAUAAAGACAAAGGCAAAGGCAGUCAAUGGACAAGGUCAAGAUUGAGAUUAAGGAAGAGAUGAAAGUGAAGAUGAAGGUCAAAAUAAAAGAUGAAGAUAAAGAUUUAGAAGAGCGUUGCAAGAAAGCUAUAACUGCCAUGUAUGUAUGCCUGUAAAUCAGCGAUAGGGAAAAAAUGGGGAUUGAAGCAUCAAGCUCUACCCAGAAUAACAGCGGACGAAGGUAAAGCGAUCAAAUGAAAGAAUAAAUGGAAACUAGUGAACCCGCAUGGCGUUAAAACGCCCAAAAUUGAAUUUAAAAAUUAUAAAAAAUAUUCUAAAUGUUAAUCGGAGUUAUAACCGAUUAGAUUGCCAUAUUUCAUCUAAAUGUUCCAACUUCAAAAAAUAAAAUCUUAACCCAUAUA
Molecule: long non-coding RNA, 710 nt
Organism: Rhagoletis zephyria (snowberry fruit fly)
Lineage: Eukaryota; Metazoa; Arthropoda; Insecta; Diptera; Tephritidae
Source: RefSeq, a predicted model, not a curated record